AUUAAAAUGAUUUUUUGGAUUAAUUUUGAUAUAUUUCAUGAAUUAAAUUUUUUGUGCAUAUUUUUAAUUAUUUAAAAAUACUUCUGACUUUUCAAAAAUCAUGAAAUUUUUUGUCUAAGGUCAUUUGAUCUUGUUUAUUUAUUUGGUGUUUUGAAGAGAUUUUAGGUUUUGACCAAAUUAAAUUGAAUUUUAAUGUAUUUUUAAUUUGAUUUUUAAAUGAUUAAUUGUGUAUAAAUUAUGUUGAGCCAUUUUUAUGGUCUUG
Molecule: long non-coding RNA, 262 nt
Filed under: Lathyrus oleraceus (garden pea)
Lineage: Eukaryota; Viridiplantae; Streptophyta; Magnoliopsida; Fabales; Fabaceae
Description: Pisum sativum (pea) long non-coding RNA (PSAT_LNC029842)
Source: RNAcentral